GACGAACGCUGGCGGCGUGCUUAACACAUGCAAGUCGAACGGAAAGGCCCUGCUUUUGUGGGGUGCUCGAGUGGCGAACGGGUGAGUAACACGUGAGUAACCUGCCCUUGACUUUGGGAUAACUUCAGGAAACUGGGGCUAAUACCGGAUAGGAGCUCCUGCUGCAUGGUGGGGGUUGGAAAGUUUCGGCGGUUGGGGAUGGACUCGCGGCUUAUCAGCUUGUUGGUGGGGUAGUGGCUUACCAAGGCUUUGACGGGUAGCCGGCCUGAGAGGGUGACCGGCCACAUUGGGACUGAGAUACGGCCCAGACUCCUACGGGAGGCAGCAGUGGGGAAUAUUGCACAAUGGGCGGAAGCCUGAUGCAGCAACGCCGCGUGCGGGAUGACGGCCUUCGGGUUGUAAACCGCUUUCGCCUGUGACGAAGCGUGAGUGACGGUAAUGGGUAAAGAAGCACCGGCUAACUACGUGCCAGCAGCCGCGGUGAUACGUAGGGUGCGAGCGUUGUCCGGAUUUAUUGGGCGUAAAGGGCUCGUAGGUGGUUGAUCGCGUCGGAAGUGUAAUCUUGGGGCUUAACCCUGAGCGUGCUUUCGAUACGGGUUGACUUGAGGAAGGUAGGGGAGAAUGGAAUUCCUGGUGGAGCGGUGGAAUGCGCAGAUAUCAGGAGGAACACCAGUGGCGAAGGCGGUUCUCUGGGCCUUUCCUGACGCUGAGGAGCGAAAGCGUGGGGAGCGAACAGGCUUAGAUACCCUGGUAGUCCACGCUGUAAACGGUGGGUACUAGGUGUGGGGUCCAUUCCACGGGUUCCGUGCCGUAGCUAACGCUUUAAGUACCCCGCCUGGGGAGUACGGCCGCAAGGCUAAAACUCAAAGGAAUUGACGGGGCCCCGCACAAGCGGCGGAGCAUGCGGAUUAAUUCGAUGCAACGCGUAGAACCUUACCUGGGUUUGACAUGGAUCGGGAGUGCUCAGAGAUGGGUGUGCCUCUUUUGGGGUCGGUUCACAGGUGGUGCAUGGCUGUCGUCAGCUCGUGUCGUGAGAUGUUGGGUUAAGUCCCGCAACGAGCGCAACCCUUGUUCACUGUUGCCAGCACGUUAUGGUGGGGACUCAGUGGAGACCGCCGGGGUCAACUCGGGGGAAGGUGGGGAUGACGUCAAGUCAUCAUGCCCCUUAUGUCCAGGGCUUCACGCAUGCUACAAUGGCUGGUACAGAGAGUGGCGAGCCUGUGAGGGUGAGCGAAUCUCGGAAAGCCGGUCUCAGUUCGGAUUGGGGUCUGCAACUCGACCUCAUGAAGUCGGAGUCGCUAGUAAUCGCAGAUCAGCAACGCUGCGGUGAAUACGUUCCCGGGGC
This 1345-nucleotide ribosomal RNA is filed under the name uncultured bacterium. RNAcentral describes it as "partial 16S ribosomal RNA". It matches the Rfam family "Bacterial small subunit ribosomal RNA", at positions 28 to 1380 of the family's 1533-position model. The record is from RNAcentral.